This is a long non-coding RNA of Sebastes umbrosus (honeycomb rockfish), 432 nucleotides long. RefSeq lists it as uncharacterized. NCBI's taxonomy places the organism in Eukaryota, Metazoa, Chordata, Actinopteri, Perciformes, Sebastidae. The transcript is spliced from 3 exons. The record is from RefSeq and is a predicted model, not a curated record.
CCGGGCUGAUCUCCGUGUCUGAGCCGUCGUCUGAGAGGUUGCUGUAGCUGGGAGACUGAGCCGGGGAGGUGCUGGAGGUGGUGCUGUGGGCAUCGGAAUCUGGUGGGCAGAACAAAGCGUGAACAAUGGAGGGCUCUUUCUGCAGCCUGCUGAUCUGGCUCGGCCGGGCUUUCUUGGAGAUGGACUUUAUCUUCUUGGGCCUGGAAGUUAUCUUUAGACUGGGACCUCCUCUGGCAUCAACCACCUUCAUGGAGGAGAGACGUACUGAAUGAGUUUACACAGGCAAAAGUGUAAUCUCCACAGCACAUGGAGACCUGAACUGCGGCAAACUGCGAGCCGCGCCCCCCAGACUGAGACUGGCUUCUUCUUCAUCCUGCCAUCAUCAUCAGUCCUCCAGGUCCUCUACAGAGAGCCCGCAGAGAGCAGGGAACA